This 196-nucleotide ribosomal RNA is filed under the name uncultured bacterium. RNAcentral's name for it is "partial 16S ribosomal RNA". It matches the Rfam family "Bacterial small subunit ribosomal RNA", at positions 1305 to 1500 of the family's 1533-position model. The record is from RNAcentral.
CUGCAACUCGCCUGCAUGAAGUCGGAAUUGCUAGUAAUCGCAGAUCAGCAUGCUGCGGUGAAUACGUUCCCGGGCCUUGUACACACCGCCCGUCACACCAUGGGAGUCGGUAACACCCAAAGUUGGUAGCCUAACCGCAAGGAGGGCGCCGCCUAAGGUGGGAUUGAUGACUGGGGUGAAGUCGUAACAAGGUAAC